This is a long non-coding RNA of Vidua chalybeata, 1600 nucleotides long. RefSeq lists it as uncharacterized. The record is from RefSeq and is a predicted model, not a curated record. The transcript is spliced from 3 exons. NCBI's taxonomy places the organism in Eukaryota, Metazoa, Chordata, Aves, Passeriformes, Viduidae.
AUUCAAGUCCUACAAAAGUCCUUGAUCAACUGUCAAACAAAGCAAAAUUAUAAAAUAAAACAUGCUACAUAAAAGAUGAGUAGCUUCAUGAUCAGACUUUCUGUUGCAAGAUUAAGGGGAAUUCCACAAUUUAUUUAGUAGUUCUUUAAUUCCUGUUUUGCUUGCCCUCUGUUUCUCUUUUCAUUUAGUUCUUGCUUUCAAAUUACAGCAUUGACAUCCUUCUUGCUGUCUUUUCCGUGGAAGAAUCCAGGUAAAGCUGAUUUCAUUUUAUUCAUUUCUUUCUGAAGGAACUCUGCAUUUGUGACACCUUGUCUCUCGCCUGUCACAGUAACAAACACGUUUGUUUUAUGUUGCCUCACACCUAUAUUUAGUGCACUCUUCACAGCAAUCAGGAGUUUGGUUUGGCCAUAUCAGCAGGUGUGGUACUUUGUCACAAGUCCCAACACUAUAUCCUGUAUAUGGUGAUUGCUCAGCCAACUGCUAGCAGUGAUGGAGUCCUCAUGAAUCCUCACUGAGGUAGGAUCUGCAUUGCUAUUCAGUGCUCAGCACACAGUACUGGAAGGAGGGCUCAUACACACCAGGUCCCACAAACCUUCUGGCUCCCCUCACUUCAGCUCACUCUGUCUCCACCAGGCAGACUUUGUCGAUCCACUGCCACAUGUCUGAAGGCGGGCACCAGUCCCAGAAGGUCCAGAGCAUCUACUGGGGCAGAGCAGGUGGAGGAGGAUUUGGUAGACCCUACUGGCCUUCCAGAGCAGGGGAGCAGUAUUAGACCAGAGAAGAUCUGAUUCUGUGCUGUUUCAACUUGGACUUGGAAAAAUGGGCUUUGAAGGCAUCUGAGGGAGUGUUCUUCCAAGACAAGUGGACACCGCUGGUUAGUCACACCAAGAUGCUGGUGAAUGUUUGGCAAAGAUGCACAGAGAAGGUCUCUCCUUCUGGCCAAUGUACACCUAUUUCUGGAAAUAAGAGAGAACUACAAGGAAAUGAAAAUGUUAACGUGACAGCUCAGACUGGCAUAAAGGACUGCUUAGAUAAACAGCAUGAGGAAAGUUCAGCAAAGCUAAAUGAAGCUUGUCCUAUUGGGGUGUAGGAAUCAAUGUCAAACUCAAGGAUUCAGUUAUUUUUGAAGUAUCUUGACAAACUACGGAGGGUGCCAGAGGACUGAGGAAGAGCAAACACAGCGCCAGUCUUUUGUGGUGGGAGCAGGGAGGCAGCAGUGGUCUUGGCAAAUAUCACCCUUUCAGAGUAACUUCUGUUCCUGGCAACACGAUGGAAUAAACAGAAAUGAGGGGAAAAAAAGUAAGAAUGCAAAGGAUAAGAGAUCUGUGAGCAAUAGGCAGCAGUAUAUAUUUACAGAGAAUAAAUCACAUCUAAAUAAAUCUGAUUACUUUCUUUUGGUUUAAUUUACAAAAUUAGUGAAGAGAAUAACUCAAACAUAAUAUAGAUAUGGACUCUGGCAAAACUUUCGAUAUGCCGCUCUGUAAAACAGUACAUGAAAACUGAACCGGUAUUGCCUUGAAUGUGAGUGCAGCUACAUCGGUUAAGAAAACCCCAAACGCCCUUCUGGAAAAAAAAAAAAAACAAACAAACCAAACAGAAA